UACAGGGGGUGCAAACGUUGCUCGGAAUCAUUGGGCGUAAAGCGCACGUAGGCGGUUCGUUAUGUCGGAUGUGAAAGCCCUUGGCUUAACCGAGGAAGUGCAUCCGAAACUGGCGAGCUAGAGUACGAAAGAGGAUCGCGGAAUUUCCGGUGUAGCGGUGAAAUGCGUAGAUAUCGGAAGGAACAUCAGUGGCGAAAGCGACUUCCUGGACCAAUACUGACGCUCAUGUGCGAAAGCGUGGGGAGCAAACAGG
Molecule: ribosomal RNA, 253 nt
Filed under: uncultured bacterium
Lineage: Bacteria
Description: partial 16S ribosomal RNA
Rfam family: Bacterial small subunit ribosomal RNA
Source: RNAcentral